Molecule: ribosomal RNA, 492 nt
Filed under: uncultured bacterium
Lineage: Bacteria
Description: partial 16S ribosomal RNA
Rfam family: Bacterial small subunit ribosomal RNA
Source: RNAcentral
AGUGAACGCUGGCGGUAGGCCUAACACAUGCAAGUCGAACGGCAGCACAGUAAGAGCUUGCUCUUACGGGUGGCGAGUGGCGGACGGGUGAGGAAUACAUCGGAAUCUACUUUUUCGUGGGGGAUAACGUAGGGAAACUUACGCUAAUACCGCAUACGACCUACGGGUGAAAGCAGGGGAUCUUCGGACCUUGCGCGAUUGAAUGAGCCGAUGUCGUAUUAGCUAGUUGGCGGGGUAAAGGCCCACCAAGGCGACGAUCCGUAGCUGGUCUGAGAGGAUGAUCGGCCACACUGGAACUGGACCACGGUCCAUACUACUACGGGAGGCAGCAGUGGGGAAUAUUGGACAAUGGGCGCAAGCCUGAUCCAGCCAUACCGCGUGGGUGAAGAAGGCCUUCGGGUUGUAAAGCCCUUUUGUUGGGAAAGAAAAGCAGCAGGUUAAUACCACGCUGUUCUGACGGUACCCAAAGAAUAAGCACCGGCUAACUUCGUG